GUGUUUAGUGUCCAGGUGUGGAGUGGAGCUUCUUCUUCUUCUGCUGUGUUUGCAGAAACUAAGUCCAUUUGUGAAAUUCACACUGGAAUUCACUGAGAGCCAAGUGCCUGAUUUUGUACACCUGUGGCCACGGAAGUGAUUUGAACACCUGAAUUCAGUGAUUUGGAUGUCACUGAAAUGGCAGCUCAGGUACUUUUAUGAUCUUGACUCUUUGACCUGGACUCAGUCUGACCAGUCGAACGGCAUAUUUUUAAAGUGAAAACAUGAAGGAAAAGAAACUGUGAAGUGUGUAAAAGUCAGAUUAGUGAAGAUGUGAGUCCAGACGACGUGUGUGCAGGAUCAGCUGAGCUCUGCAGGAGACAUGGAGGUUCAAAGGAGGAGAGCCAACAACCAUCAGUCACAACACACACACCAAACACACAUUUUUACAUUCGGUGUCACUUUGACCUUCUUCAUGAUGUCAUCAUCAGCAUGUUUUUAUUAUCAAAUUUCACACUCAGCUGAUUAAAAACAGAAAAUACUCAAAGAUUUACUUUAACAUUCAGUGACUCGUCCUGACAUUAAAUCACAGGAGGAUCAGCAGGUAACGUUUGAAUCACUGCACCAACCCCCCCUCUACAGUCUGAUUCAACCAGUUUAACCAGCCCUGCUGCUCCUGCUGAGCCCCUCCCACCUGUCCUGUUUCAGGUGGAGUCCCGCCUCCUUCCAGGAAUCAGCUCACCUGUGUGUCAGUGUUUGGUGUCCAGGUGUGGAGUGGAGCUUCUUCUUCUUCUGCUCUGUUUGCAGAAACUGUGAAGGUAGAAAGUGUGUGUGAGCUGAUGUGAAUUCAGCAGCAUGGAUCAGUG
This is a long non-coding RNA of Archocentrus centrarchus (flier cichlid), 845 nucleotides long. RefSeq lists it as uncharacterized. Lineage: Eukaryota; Metazoa; Chordata; Actinopteri; Cichliformes; Cichlidae. The record is from RefSeq and is a predicted model, not a curated record. The transcript has 5 exons.